This is a long non-coding RNA of Neltuma alba, 346 nucleotides long. RefSeq lists it as uncharacterized. Lineage: Eukaryota; Viridiplantae; Streptophyta; Magnoliopsida; Fabales; Fabaceae. The transcript is spliced from 4 exons. The record is from RefSeq and is a predicted model, not a curated record.
CGAUGAAACUGUCACGUCUGGUGAAACUCUGGUGUUCAAUGGCUACCUUGUUGACAUCGGUGAUCCUGAGGGAGAUAAUAACCCUAUUUCUGAUUCAAAUGUUGAUAAAGCACAUAAGAAUAUUGCACGGGGAUCUAAUAGGUUGAAUGGGUCAAACAUUAGAACUUCAGCAGGCGACAGUAAAAUUAACGUAAAGGAGAGCAAAGCACAUCAUGCUCUCAGCCCAUCACAAAAGAUUAUUAAAGAGUUUAAGAAGAGAGAGCUUCUUAAGUAUGGAUCACCAAAGAUCAGUCCGGAAACAACAAAACCCAACACAUCAGAGUGGCAGGUUUUGUACACUACACAA